GGAAGAUAUGCGCUUUUCGCGGAUCGAGGCUGGAUGACCUCUCGGGAUCAAUGGAGGGAGAAUCGCCAUGAAGGAAAGAUGGAAUGAAACGGUAUUGUUUAACCAAGGUAGAGGACUUAGCAAAGUGUUUAAAAGGGAUAGCCUAUUUUCAUCAUUUAGGAUGACGGUGCACUUAUGAUAUCAGGUGGAUUGUGGGAUGAUAUUGGAUCAAGCUGCAAAUGUGAAGGAUCCAAUUAAAAAUUUUCAGACUCAAGGGAGUGGGUGUGCAACUCGGCAAAAGUCAAGGGGUUCCAACUAUAAUUUUCCUAGUAUAUUUAGAAGGCUUAUCGUUCUGAUUUAAAUAAAUUAUAUAUUUAACUAGAGUUGAUCAGCAAUCAGGUGACUGCAGAAUAAUGAGGAAUGGAAACAAAUAUUUACGUGAACAGCUGACCGAAAGAAUUUUGGCUUCGUCAAUGUAUCUGAAUUAUAUGUGCCGUUGUAAGGUUUCUGAUCAUUUUCUGUAUGUUAUAAAAUAUCAAAUUAUUUAUUUUAUAUAAGCUCAAUCAAGGUUUCUUUUCGAUACUUGGGAGGCUUGAGCCUUGACAACUCAAAAAUCGAAAGAACACCCAAAGCUAUCAGCAUUUACGAGAAUAGCUCAGGAUGAGUCGCUUAUGGAAUGUGGAACAAAGGAAAUUAUUGUAUCGCUUGUGAAUAUAGAAACCCUGGAACAUCAACUUCAGCCACUCCCUCGUGGUUGACGUAAGUAUUACAGUAAGCACACCAAAUCACAAAUGGGCAUGCCAUGCAUAGGAACAAGAAUAUGCGGACGUUAGUUUUGCAUCCACACAACAGGCGAAGAGGACCAUUGGUGCAAUUCGAUGAAAUCGUUGGACUUGCAGGAGAUUUUUGCACUCCAAGAGGAAUAACAAUAAAUAGGUGAAGAGGACCAUUGCUGCACUUCGAUGAAAUCAUUGGACCUGUGGUAGACAUUUGCACCCCAAAAGAACAAUAAACCUCGAACAACGAUAUAUAACCUUGGGAUAGAUUCAUUAUGAUGAAACCCUUUCUAGUAGAUAUCUGCACGCCAGAAGAAUGAAUACCUUACACGAUGAAAUCCUUCAUAUGCUGCACUGAUAAACACCGCGCACUUUUGACAUUACUACGUCCUGAAGGCAUUAUUGAUCCAAUAGAGCCACCAAAUCGAUCAUCUAAUCCAAAGACCAACAAAAAGAAAUAAAACAAGGAUGGCGCCGACAUCCAUGACCCUUUCUCAAGUAACAACAGAAUAUUACGAGACUUCUAAUGAAUAGGCCUGCUAUGUCCUACAGUAAAACUCCCCACUCCACAGCAUAAACCAAAUGCAGUCCAGGACAAAAAUCUGAUGGAAACUCUCCUAUAAAGAAAAUUAUGAUAUCCAUCAAACCUGUUGGAAAGCCUGAGAAUCAAAAAGAGAGAGAAAUAAGGUGUGAAAUCAGCAUGCAACCACAUUACCAGGCUUCCUCAAUAUACUUCUUUUGGGUGGCAGAACAGUUGGCCACCGAGGGAACCGCGAAAAUUCAUCCUCGCAAAACUUACAGUGAUUUAUUCAAUUCCUAUAAACCAAGCAAACCAGCAUAAAUAAUUUUUUUUACCAUUACGGCACGCAUGCGUCUGAAGACAAACCACUGUUUGGCCUUUGUAUUGUCAAGCAAGAGCUAAUACAAAAUUGCACGCCACAGGAGAU
This 1702-nucleotide long non-coding RNA is filed under the name Phoenix dactylifera (date palm). RNAcentral's name for it is "long non-coding RNA (PDAC_LNC012017)". The record is from RNAcentral. Lineage: Eukaryota; Viridiplantae; Streptophyta; Magnoliopsida; Arecales; Arecaceae.